This 453-nucleotide ribosomal RNA is filed under the name uncultured bacterium. Its description in RNAcentral is "partial 16S ribosomal RNA". It matches the Rfam family "Bacterial small subunit ribosomal RNA", at positions 28 to 506 of the family's 1533-position model. The record is from RNAcentral.
GAUGAACGCUGACAGAAUGCUUAACACAUGCAAGUCAACUUGAACUUCGGUUUGGGUGGCGGACGGGUGAGUCACGCGUAAAGAACUUGCCUCACAGAUAGGGACAACAUUUGGAAACGAAUGCUAAUACCUGAUAUUAUGAUUAUAUGGCAUCGUAUAAUUAUGAAAGCUAUAUGCGCUGUGAGAGAGCUUUGCGUCCCAUUAGCUAGUUGGAGAGGUAACGGCUCACCAAGGCGAUGAUGGGUAGCCGGCCUGAGAGGGUGAUCGGCCACAAGGGGACUGAGACACGGCCCUUACUCCUACGGGAGGCAGCAGUGGGGAAUAUUGGACAAUGGACCAAGAGUCUGAUCCAGCAAUUCUGUGUGCACGAUGAAGUUUUUCGGAAUGUAAAGUGCUUUCAGUUGGGAAGAAAAAAAUGACGGUACCAACAGAAGAAGUGACGGCUAAAUACGU